This 353-nucleotide ribosomal RNA is filed under the name uncultured bacterium. RNAcentral's name for it is "bacterial SSU rRNA". It matches the Rfam family "Bacterial small subunit ribosomal RNA", at positions 28 to 380 of the family's 1533-position model. The record is from RNAcentral.
GACGAACGCUGGCGGCGUGCUUAACACAUGCAAGUCGAGCGGUAAGGCCCUUUCGGGGGUACGACGAGCGGCGAACGGGUGAGUAACACGUGGGUGACCUGCCCUUAGCUCUGGGAUAAGCCUGGGAAACUGGGUCUAAUACCGGAUAUGACUCCAUGACGCAUGUUGUGGGGUGGAAAGCCUUGUGCGGCUAGGGAUGGGCCCGCGGCCUAUCAGCUUGUUGGUGGGGUGAUGGCCACCAAGGCGACGACGGGUAGCCGGCCUGAGAGGGCGACCGGCCACACUGGGGACUGAGACACGGCCCAGACUCCUACGGGAGGGCAGCAGUAGGGAAUCUUGCGCAAUGGGCGAAA